UGACAGUUUAACUGUCCUAAAGGGUUGUUCGAGACUAGAACGUUGAUAGGCAGGGUGUGUAAGCGUUGUGAGGCGUUGAGCUAACCUGUACUAAUUGCCCGUGAGGCUUAACCAUACAACACCCAAGGGGUUUUGUA
RNAcentral lists this ribosomal RNA (137 nucleotides) under Vibrio cholerae. RNAcentral describes it as "partial 23S ribosomal RNA". The stretch from base 1 to 115 matches the Rfam family "Bacterial large subunit ribosomal RNA", at positions 2814 to 2925 of the family's 2925-position model. Lineage: Bacteria; Pseudomonadati; Pseudomonadota; Gammaproteobacteria; Vibrionales; Vibrionaceae. The record is from RNAcentral.